AGAGCGAACGCUGGCGGCAGGCUUAACACAUGCAAGUCGAACGGACUCUUCGGAGUUAGUGGCGGACGGGUGAGUAACACGUGGGAACGUGCCUUUAGGUUCGGAACAACACAGGGAAACUUGUGCUAAUACCGGAUAAGCCUUUCGAGGGAAAGAUUUAUCGCCUUUAGAGCGGCCCGCGUCUGAUUAGCUAGUUGGUGAGGUAAAGGCUCACCAAGGCUACGAUCAGUAGCUGGUCUGAGAGGAUGGCCAGCCACAUUGGGACUGAGACACGGCCCAAACUCCUACGGGAGGCAGCAGUGGGGAAUCUUGCGCAAUGGGCGAAAGCCUGACGCAGCCAUGCCGCGUGGAUGAUGAAGGUCUUAGGAUUGUAAAAUCCUUUCAGCGGGACGAUAAUGACGGUACCCGCAGAAGAAGCCCCGGCUAACUUCGCGCCAGCAGCCGC
RNAcentral lists this ribosomal RNA (445 nucleotides) under uncultured bacterium. RNAcentral describes it as "SSU rRNA". It matches the Rfam family "Bacterial small subunit ribosomal RNA", at positions 26 to 518 of the family's 1533-position model. The record is from RNAcentral.